This is a long non-coding RNA of Syngnathus acus (greater pipefish), 1554 nucleotides long. RefSeq lists it as uncharacterized. The transcript is spliced from 2 exons. The record is from RefSeq and is a predicted model, not a curated record. Lineage: Eukaryota; Metazoa; Chordata; Actinopteri; Syngnathiformes; Syngnathidae.
CCGUUUCCUUGGGGGUAGCCCCGGAGCUGAAGUCAUCCCUCGCUGCUGGACUCUGCUUGCUGGUUACCUUGACGACGGCGGCGGCGGGAGUGGAAGGAGCAGAGGUGGCGGCUGCCGCUGGUUGUUGGCGGCUGUCGCGCGGCCCUGGGAGUCGCUACCGAUGCUCUGUGAUGAAGAAUUUUGAAGAAGUUAAAAGUCAUCACCUGCAUUGCAACGACAUGAAUGUAAUCAUGUUCACCUCAUCCAAGUCAGAGAAAUUGAUCCUCUGGUGGAUCUUGUCCAGCUCCGCCUGGUCCGGGACGGAGCGUUGGCUGGUGUAUUUGACGUGCACGGUCUUGCGGCGCACGCCCCACAGGGUGGAAUUGGGCGAAAUGUCGUUGGUUAGGCGGCUUUCUGCCACCAAGGAAGCUGACAGCUUUCUUUUAUUUUUCUCUGAUGAGCGGUUUGGCUUCUUCUGCUGUGUCCCACUCCAGUCCUGAAAUGUCACGAGCAAUCAUCGAUAUUAACAACAACAAAUGUCUGCAAGGUACACAAAUGUGUACAAUUGUGCUUCUGAUGUGUCAAAUGUAGUUUUUACUUAUUUAGUGUGGGUUUACCAUGUUGUUGAGUCGGUCCUCCAAGCUAGCGUUGGUGACGCUCCAGUUGUGCAGCUCGUCCGCGCUGUCAUCCAAAGGAGCGCCUCCGGUUGCCAUGUUACCACCCACUUAGCUGAAAACAACAACAAAAAUGCUCAAGAAUGACAUUGAUUAAGUUUGGUUUGGCUCCAACCACCUUCAGUGUUUAACUGCCACCCCCCUCGACGUUUUCACACGGGCCGAGCUACAUGACUCGCUUUCUCCAAGUUGACCCGCUUGCAGUUAGGCAGGCGUUAAAACGGCUCUGAAAGGCGUCACUUGAGCGUCAUAAAAGGGAACGCGAGAAAGAGCCAACCUACACGCUGUCAAAGCGAACCGCCACGAACGAUGAAAGGCCGAAAAACUACUGCUGGAAAUGCGGACAUGUUAUCUCGCGGGAGGGGGUGCGCAACUUUGAAGUGGUUCCGAGCCCCGGGAAUCACCAUGGCAACGUCCCCACGACCCUCGUUAUGUAGCUUCUGAGUCGUCGAGCAUCGGUCUCACCUCACGAAAACAAAGUUUGUGCUAAGUAAUAUUAUAAUAAAUGGCUGUAAAGGCUAAUGGCGUCACUUGUGUGCGAAUGAAAUGUGUGUGAGGGUGGUUACCUGGCUAAUGCUACUGUUAGCAUCUUGCCAUUAGGCAACGCCAACUAUCUCCCAAAACUAUAAUCCAGGUAAACUAAAGCCACCUGACCAAGUACGGUACAAAUAAUCCAAAAUAGCAAACGAAUUCGCACUGUUUUCGGGUACUUAGCGUGUGAGUAAACUGUUAGCUAACUCGUUUGAUCAAAGUGAAUUCAUAUAAUAAUUACCGUAGCUUUAGAAGUUGUGCUUCGUUGGAUCCAUGGGGAAAAUGCCUAUGCUGUCAAUCACGUGUUUUUUCCGCUUCUACGGAGUUUGCUUGGUGUAAAUAAACCAAUUGUUUGGGAUGUCUUGCUGAA